GAUGAACGCUGACAGAAUGCUUAACACAUGCAAGUCUACUUGAUCUAUCUUCGGAUAGUGAUGGUGGCGGACGGGUGAGUAACGCGUAAACAAUCUGCCCUUCAGUCUGGGAUAACAGUUGGAAACGACUGCUAAUACCGGAUAUUAUGAAAUUUCCGCAUGGAGGUCUCAUGAAAGCUAUAUGCGCUGGAGGAGGAGUUUGCGUUCCAUUAGCUAGUUGGUGAGGUAACGGCUCACCAAGGCGACGAUGGAUAGCCGGCCUGAGAGGGUGAACGGCCACAAGGGGACUGAGACACGGCCCUUACUCCUACGGGAGGCAGCAGUGGGGAAUAUUGGACAAUGGGCCACGAGCCUGAUCCAGCAAUUCUGUGUGCACGAUGAAGGUCUUCGGAUUGUAAAGUGCUUUCAGUUGGGAAGAAGAAAGUGACGGUACCAACAGAAGAAGCGACGGCUAAAUAUGUGCCAGCCGCCGCCGUAACAC
RNAcentral lists this ribosomal RNA (481 nucleotides) under uncultured bacterium. RNAcentral's name for it is "bacterial SSU rRNA". It matches the Rfam family "Bacterial small subunit ribosomal RNA", at positions 28 to 526 of the family's 1533-position model. The record is from RNAcentral.